Molecule: transfer RNA, 67 nt
Filed under: Oxynotus paradoxus (sailfin roughshark)
Lineage: Eukaryota; Metazoa; Chordata; Chondrichthyes; Squaliformes; Oxynotidae
Description: tRNA-Ser
Source: RNAcentral
AAGAGAGGUCUAGGACACAAAGAACUGCUAAUUCUUUUCAUCAUGGUUCAAAUCCAUGGCUCACUUA